Molecule: long non-coding RNA, 510 nt
Organism: Poeciliopsis prolifica (blackstripe livebearer)
Lineage: Eukaryota; Metazoa; Chordata; Actinopteri; Cyprinodontiformes; Poeciliidae
Exons: 2
Source: RefSeq, a predicted model, not a curated record
GCAUUCCUAAAUUCUACAGUGUCAAACGUUACAGAACCAAGAAAACACAUAGAAGAUUCAUUUCUGAACAAGACUUAAAAGACAGAACAGAAUAAUAAUGAGUGAGCAUAGGAACCCUAUUUUUGACGAUUGGUUGGAUGAUCUUCGAAAGAUCAGAAAAAUGACCUUGGAAGAAUUCAAUGAUCGUCUGGAUACCCUUGAGGUCAUAUGUAGAGAUCGACACAUUGGAAUAACGGUGAACAGACUGACUAGAUCUGAGUUUGAUGAAUUCCAGGCCUGUUUGUCUGAGUACAUGCAGUACCUGGAAGGCCCUCCUAAAGAAAAACCUAGUGUAAAUCAGCAAGCCACGGAUUUGGUUAUUCGUGUCAUCAGCUGUACAGGAAAAUGGCUCUUCAGAACACUUCUGACAAUGCACCAGAACGGCUCUCUGAGGUACUGGGUCGAUACCUGGUAUUUUUAAAUAAACUAGUGUCAUGAAAAGCUAAGGAUGGAGCGCACUGCUCUGCAAAA